UUCCAGACUCCUACGGGAGGCAGCAGUGGGGGAUAUUGCACAAUGGGGGGAACCCUGAUGCAGCGACGCCGCGUGGGUGAAGAAGUAUUUCGUUAUGUAAAGCUCUAUCAGCAGGGAAGAAAAUGACGGUACCUGAGUAAGAAGCCCCGGCUAACUACGUGCCAGCAGCCGCGGUAAUACGUAGGGGGCAAGCGUUAUCCGGAUUUAUUGGGUGUAAAGGGGGCGCAGACGGCGAUGCAAGCCAGGAGUGAAAGCCCGGGGCCCAACCCCGGGACUGCUCUUGGAACUGCGUGGCUGGAGUGCAGGAGGGGCAGGCGGAAUUCCUGGUGUAGCGGUGAAAUGCGUAGAUAUCAGGAGGAACACCGGUGGCGAAGGCGGCCUGCUGGACUGCAACUGACGUUGAGGCCCGAAAGCGUGGGGAGCAAACAGGAUUAGAUACCCGGGUAGC
RNAcentral lists this ribosomal RNA (448 nucleotides) under uncultured bacterium. RNAcentral's name for it is "bacterial SSU rRNA". It matches the Rfam family "Bacterial small subunit ribosomal RNA", at positions 329 to 794 of the family's 1533-position model. The record is from RNAcentral.